GCUAACGGCCAGAAGGAGCUGAGGCUCACGUAAUGGACUCUAGGAAGGACUUUAUAAUCCCACGUUCAGAUGGCAGGACUCCAGCUGCAUGAACAGCAACAACAGCAGCCAUUAGCCCUUAUGGGAACCGAGGGCAGGGAGAAGCUAGGGGACCAUGAGUGGGAUCAUCACUCCCAGCUUCUGAUACAUUCUGGAUCCACGGCUGAAUGCAAAACGAAGUAAACCCUUUUUCCUUUCCUUUAACGAAUGAAUAACAGGCCAUUCUCCAUGAAGAUGUAAGCACGGGUGUUCGAGGCAGGGUCUUGACAGGAAGAAGAUGGACUUGAUAAAGGAACUGUUUACAGGCUGUAUUGGGAAACCAGAGGACAGUGCCACAUCUGGGUCUAAGAAUAAAGACCCCAAGUCAUCCCAGCCUUCUGUAGGCUGCAGAAGCAAAGAACAGAUGGCCAUCUGGACAAGGGCCCUAGAGCCAGAAGGAAAAUACAAAGAGCAUGGGAACUCAGAGAUGCCAGCCUCAACAUGAUGCCUAGGCUGAGUAAAUUCUCUGUCAGAUAGCCAGCUGGUAGUAGAGCUGGGAUCAGAACCCCGGCAAUCAGACUUCUCAUCCUACGCUCUCAGCGACUGUGCUACAUGUGCCUGGAAUGUUCCUUACCCUCCAGAAAGUGAAUGAUCCAAGACCUUCCCAGAUCUGUGCCUUCCAGUCUGGAACACCCUCCCUCAUUCUGCACAUGAUGCGCUCUUUCCCAGCCUUCAGGUCUCUCUUGCCAUGUUUCCUCCUCAGAGAAGCCUCCCUGCCGACCAGUCUAAAGAUGGUCUCCCUUGCUUUUAGUCUCCCUU
Molecule: long non-coding RNA, 837 nt
Organism: Canis lupus familiaris (dog)
Lineage: Eukaryota; Metazoa; Chordata; Mammalia; Carnivora; Canidae
Exons: 4
Source: RefSeq, a predicted model, not a curated record